GACGAACGCUGGCGGCGUGCUUAACACAUGCAAGUCGAACGGAAAGGCCCUGCUUUUGUGGGGUGCUCGAGUGGCGAACGGGUGAGUAACACGUGAGUAACCUGCCCUUGACUUUGGGAUAACUUCAGGAAACUGGGGCUAAUACCGGAUAGGAGCUCCUGCUGCAUGGUGGGGGUUGGAAAGUUUCGGCGGUUGGGGAUGGACUCGCGGCUUAUCAGCUUGUUGGUGGGGUAGUGGCUUACCAAGGCUUUGACGGGUAGCCGGCCUGAGAGGGUGACCGGCCACAUUGGGACUGAGAUACGGCCCAGACUCCUACGGGAGGCAGCAGUGGGGAAUAUUGCACAAUGGGCGGAAGCCUGAUGCACCAACGCCGCGUGCGGGAUGACGGCCUUCGGGUUGUAAACCGCUUUCGCCUGUGACGAAGCGUGAGUGACGGUAAUGGGUAAAGAAGCACCGGCUAACUACGUG
This 468-nucleotide ribosomal RNA is filed under the name uncultured bacterium. RNAcentral describes it as "partial 16S ribosomal RNA". It matches the Rfam family "Bacterial small subunit ribosomal RNA", at positions 28 to 507 of the family's 1533-position model. The record is from RNAcentral.